Astatotilapia calliptera (eastern happy) is the source of this 1347-nucleotide long non-coding RNA. The record is from Ensembl. NCBI's taxonomy places the organism in Eukaryota, Metazoa, Chordata, Actinopteri, Cichliformes, Cichlidae.
GCAUAAAACAGCAUACUGAUUCUACAGUUACCCCUUUUGAUCUUCAUCAGUAUAUUUUCACAUUGUAUAUACAUUUUCCUCCCUGUAACAUUUAACAUUUUCCAACAAUACAAUGCGAUACCAUUCCCAACAUCCAGCCAGUUAAAACUCAAUUUCCUUCACCCAAAAUCAGUAACACAGAAACGUGGCAGUUGGAGGGUCAAGUCUGCAGGUCCACACACUCAUGUGAACUUAGAAUCUCUCUCCCUUCUCUGGUCUCUAUCAUCCUACUGCUCCUGCAAAAAAACAAAACCCUUUUCUACCAGCUGGGUGAAUUGUUUGUCAACAUUUACUCAUUUGUCUCAGUUUUAAGUCAGUCAAAACUUUAUUUACAUCAUCAGUCUGUCACAGUACAGUCAGUCCCUCGCAUGCAUCAUUGCUGAUAGUGAAGCCUCUCGCACACGCGUUUCAGUAUUCACUCACAGCAAUAUCACGUCAGAUCAAAGAGAAGACAAUUCUUUAUGAUUUUGGAGUGGAUUGAACCGCUACAAUCCUUUUAGACUCCGGACUCACCAUCUCAUGUGAUCAGUGUCCCAGAUAAGUAAAUUUCUCCAAAGCCCAUUGUAAUCAGGGGAAGCACACUUUGUGACUGUUUCCAGUAGGAAUCUUUUGUAGCGCUUUUGAUUUCAACCUUGCAGGCCUGCUUAAAAGAGAGCUGAUUGUUAAAUUAUGAACUCACAAAAUAGCACCACCGGUGCAUAACACCUCUCAGAUUUCUUAUCUCAGUGCACUGUAACAAAAGCAAGAACAAAAGUAAAAAAUAAAAUAAUAAUAAAAAUAACAAAUACUGGGCGAGUUCCAGACAUGUCCAAGCAUAAAACCGGCUCUCUCUCUUAGAGAAAAAAAACAACCCAAACCUCACUGGCAAAAUCAACCUAGUGCUAAGCAAAAUCCAAAGACCGGCCAAAAAAUUCACAGGAAAGUUUAUGCUUCCUAAUGUAACAAUAUGGUUUAGGAAUUAGCUUCAAGACAUUACAAAGUUAGUUUAUCAUUCUCACUCUGUACCACUCCUCCUCAUAAUCUCAUCAGGGCUGUGUGAAGCACAGUAAGAAUUUCAGUCCAGGGGCCCGUUCUUCGUACGUCGCUUACUACAUCCAAGAUCAAAUGACACAUCCAAGAUCAAAUCAUCGCGCUAACCGUGAGCUCGCUAAUCCGGUUCCCCGAACACACCUGCUGUUGACGAUUACUACAGCUGGACGCAGGAAUGUGACAUCACUGGGUGUCGUAAAAGGGGCUACGCAUCGAUAGUAGAAACAUUGAUCGGCAACCCGCUGAUUGGUCGGCGAAAAUGUCCAAGGGGCGUGCUCG